GUCGAGGCCGCCCCGUUCGGCAGUCAGCAGGCGGGUGGCGCGGCUAAUGGUGGCAGCGGCGGGGGAGCACCC
Molecule: non-coding RNA, 72 nt
Organism: Plasmodium vivax (malaria parasite P. vivax)
Lineage: Eukaryota; Apicomplexa; Aconoidasida; Haemosporida; Plasmodiidae
Source: the annotation of a RefSeq genome assembly